GGAGAGCGGCUCAAAAGGGCGUGAAACCGUUUAGAAGUAAACGAAUGGAGCCGGCGGUAAACCUGCGGGAUUCAACCUGGAGCGCUGCACUUCGGUGUAGUCGAAGGGUGCAUUUCCCAUGGGUUGGCGCCUAAACCGACAGGCCUUUCUGGUACAUGGUGGUUUGUUUGUGGCCUGUUGCUUCGGUGACAGAGACCCGUCAUUCUGACCCUACCGAGUUAGCGCUAGUCGAGAAUUGACCGUGCCUGCCCGAAGGUUCGUUUCCGGUUUGCACGUUGGGCGGUUGGACCUUUGUGUCUUGCUUAUGCAGGAUUCCGAAACUCUCGCACCCAUUGUUACCACCGGUACGAUUUAGGUGCUCAUGGUUUUUGGCGUUUUAGUCGGCCACCCAUUCGACCCGUCUUGAAACACGGACCAAGGAGUCGUACAUGUGCGCAAGUCAUUGGGUGACAAAACUCAUAGGCGUAAUGAAAGUGAAAGUUAGCUUCAGUUAAUUUARGUGGGAUCCCUGUCAAACGUCAGGGCGCACCACCGGCCCGUGCCGACUUCAUUGCAAGUGGCGCGGCGCAAUAGCGUGCGUGUUCGGACCCGAAAGAUGGUGAACUAUGCUUGAGUAGGGUGAAGCCAGAGGAAACUCUGGUGGAAGCCCGAAACGGUUCUGACGUGCAAAUCGAUCGUCAGACUCGA
RNAcentral lists this ribosomal RNA (687 nucleotides) under Acantholaimus sp. K39. RNAcentral's name for it is "eukaryotic LSU rRNA". It matches the Rfam family "Eukaryotic large subunit ribosomal RNA", at positions 378 to 914 of the family's 3401-position model. The record is from RNAcentral. Lineage: Eukaryota; Metazoa; Nematoda; Chromadorea; Chromadorida; Chromadoridae.